GUGGGGAAUCUUCCGCAAUGGACGAAAGUCUGACGGAGCAACGCCGCGUGAGUGAAGAAGGUUUUCGGAUCGUAAAGCUCUUUCGUUAGGGACGAACGUGCUCUUUGUGAAUAAUGAGGAGUAAUGACGGUACCUAAAUAAGAAGCCACGGCUAACUACGUGCCAGCAGCCGCGGUAAUACGUAGGUGGCAAGCGUUGUCCGGAAUUAUUGGGCGUAAAGCGCGCGCAGGCGGGAUAUCAAGUCUGUCUUAAAAGUGCGAGGCUCAACCUCGUGAGGGGACAGAAACUGGUAUUCUUGAGUGUCGGAGAGGAAAGUGGAAUUCCAAGUGUAGCGGUGAAAUGCGUAGAGAUUUGGAAGAACACCAGUGGUGAAGGCGACUUUCUGGACGAAAACUGACGCUGAGGCGCGAAAGCCAGGGGAGCGAACGGGAUUAGAUACCCGAGUAGUCC
Molecule: ribosomal RNA, 450 nt
Filed under: uncultured bacterium
Lineage: Bacteria
Description: partial 16S ribosomal RNA
Rfam family: Bacterial small subunit ribosomal RNA
Source: RNAcentral